AGUGAACGCUGGCGGUAGGCCUAACACAUGCAAGUCGAACGGCAGCACAGUAAGAGCUUGCUCUUACGGGUGGCGAGUGGCGGACGGGUGAGGAAUACAUCGGAAUCUACUUUUUCGUGGGGGAUAACGUAGGGAAACUUACGCUAAUACCGCAUACGACCUACGGGUGAAAGCAGGGGAUCUUCGGACCUUGCGCGAUUGAAUGAGCCGAUGUCGGAUUAGCUAGUUGGCGGGGUAAAGGCCCGCCAAGGCGACGAUCCGUAGCUGGUCUGAGAGGAUGAUCAGCCACACUGGAACUGAGACACGGUCCAGACUCCUACGGGAGGCAGCAGUGGGGAAUAUUGGACAAUGGGCGCAAGCCUGAUCCAGCCAUACCGCGUGGGUGAAGAAGGCCUUCGGGUUGUAAAGCCCUUUUGUCGGGAAAGAAAAGCAGCAGGUUAAUACCCCGCUGUUCUGACGGUACCCAAAGAAUAAGCACCGGCUAACUUCGUG
RNAcentral lists this ribosomal RNA (492 nucleotides) under uncultured bacterium. RNAcentral's name for it is "partial 16S ribosomal RNA". It matches the Rfam family "Bacterial small subunit ribosomal RNA", at positions 29 to 507 of the family's 1533-position model. The record is from RNAcentral.